CGUUGAGGUGGUUUCGUAAGUUGGAUGUGAAAGCCCCGAGCUCAACUCGGGGAGGUCGUUCAAUACUGCGAGACUUGAGGGCAGUAGAGGGAGGUGGAAUUUCCGGUGUAGUGGUGAAAUGCGUAGAUAUCGGAAGGAACACCAGUGGCGAAGGCGGCCUCCUGGACUGUCCCUGACACUGAAGGCGAAAGCUAGGGGAGCGAACG
Molecule: ribosomal RNA, 206 nt
Filed under: uncultured bacterium
Lineage: Bacteria
Description: partial 16S ribosomal RNA
Rfam family: Bacterial small subunit ribosomal RNA
Source: RNAcentral